This 404-nucleotide ribosomal RNA is filed under the name uncultured Sphingomonas sp. RNAcentral describes it as "bacterial SSU rRNA". It matches the Rfam family "Bacterial small subunit ribosomal RNA", at positions 85 to 524 of the family's 1533-position model. Lineage: Bacteria; Pseudomonadati; Pseudomonadota; Alphaproteobacteria; Sphingomonadales; Sphingomonadaceae. The record is from RNAcentral.
UUCGGGUCUAGUGGCGCACGGGUGCGUAACGCGUGGGAAUCUGCCCUUGGGUUCGGAAUAACAGUGAGAAAUUGCUGCUAAUACCGGAUGAUGUCUUCUGACCAAAGAUUUAUCGCCCAGGGAUGAGCCCGCGUAGGAUUAGCUAGUUGGUGGGGUAAUGGCCUACCAAGGCGACGAUCCUUAGCUGGUCUGAGAGGAUGAUCAGCCACACUGGGACUGAGACACGGCCCAGACUCCUACGGGAGGCAGCAGUGGGGAAUAUUGGACAAUGAGCGAAAGCCUGAUCCAGCAAUGCCGCGUGAGUGAUGAAGGCCUUAGGGUUGUAAAGCUCUUUUACAAGAGAUGAUUAUGACAGUACCUGGAGAAUAAGCCCCGGCUAACUCCGUGCCAGCAGCCGCGGUAAU